ACGGGGGUGCCGUUAGCAGCGGCGCGGGGAACGAGCGGCGUCUGCGGAAGCCCCUGCGGAAGGAGGGGCUCCGGCCAGGGUCGAGCUGCGGUACUAACGGUCACUGCUGCCUCUUUCCCUCUCCCAGAGGCCACGCUGUGGGUGCGGUUGUCCGUUCGUCCCCUGGGGAUGCCGUUGACUGCAGCAGCCUCAGGCUUGCGUGGGCUGUCUCUGCCUGGCCUCCCUCUCCUCGCGGCGCGGGAGCGCAGAGGGACAGGCGGAGCGCUUACUGGCUGUGGGCGGGAGCUGCGGAAGCUGGAGAGGCCACAGAAAGGUAAAGAAGAAGCAGCGGAAGGCCGUCUGGCUGGCAGCUGCCUCCCGCUGCAGGCAAGAGAGAGCCUGCCUCUCCGGGUGUGGGAGCAUCCCUCCUCGUAGUCCGCAGCAGGUCAGACCGCCAGGGUCUGUAUGCACGACCAGCAGCGGGGUACGGCCACGUAGCGAGUGAGCGAGCGAGGCUACGUGUCUAGGAGGCCUCAUCUCGUAAGAGCUGUGAGACGCUCGCGUGUUCCGUUACGUGGAGGACAGCCAAGCGACGGGAGUUCCAGAAGAGGAAGGGAGGAGAGAAGGAGAAAGAAGCGUCUGAGCUGGCAAGGUCUCCUGGCAGCUCCAAGAGCGAGAGCUCCGAGUGGUGAUGGCGUGUUGUCCUGUGGCACAAUCCCCAUUCCGUUCAGCGGAGUCUUCAGUCUAGGCCUUUUAAGUGGAUGUCAGCUGCCACCAUUUCACCGUGGUUGCCCUUUCUUCUGCCGUGAAAGUACAAGACAGAUGGAAAGAUUCCGUAGUGGUCUGCAAGUACAAGGUACGCCUACGAUGUGUGUCUGCGUUUUUCCAAAGGUACUUGUAGUAUGGACUUUAAAGUUAACAUUAAGAAUGUGCCAACUCUCCUUCCACAUUUUUUCUGUGAAAUAUUUUAAUACGAAUACUAAAACUAAGGUCUGUUCUGGAGCACGUUACGCCUA
Long non-coding RNA from Harpia harpyja (harpy eagle), 995 nucleotides. RefSeq lists it as uncharacterized. The record is from RefSeq and is a predicted model, not a curated record. Lineage: Eukaryota; Metazoa; Chordata; Aves; Accipitriformes; Accipitridae. The transcript has 3 exons.